RNAcentral lists this ribosomal RNA (447 nucleotides) under uncultured bacterium. RNAcentral describes it as "partial 16S ribosomal RNA". It matches the Rfam family "Bacterial small subunit ribosomal RNA", at positions 29 to 523 of the family's 1533-position model. The record is from RNAcentral.
AGCGAACGCUUGCGGCAGGCUUAACACAUGCAAGUCGAACGCCCCGCAAGGGGAGUGGCAGACGGGUGAGUAACACGUGGGAACGUACACUUUGGUUCGGAAUAACUUGGGGAAACUCAAGCUAAUACCGGAUAAGCCCUUAUGGGGAAAGGUUUACUGCCGAAGGAUCGGCCAGCGUCUGAUUAGCUAGUUGAUGAGGUAAUGGCUCACCACGGCGACGAUCAGUAGCUGGUCUGAGAGGAUGAUCAGCCACACUGGGACUGAGACACGGCCCAGACUCCUACGGGAGGCAGCAGUGGGGAAUAUUGGACAAUGGGGGCAACCCUGAUCCAGCCAUGCCGCGUGAAUGAUGAAGGCCUUAGGGUUGUAAAGCUCUUUUACCCGGGACGAUAAUGACUGUACCGGGAGAAUAAGCCCCGGCUAACUUCGUGCCAGCCGCCGCUGUAA